RNAcentral lists this transfer RNA (72 nucleotides) under bacterium. RNAcentral describes it as "tRNA-Thr". It matches the Rfam family "tRNA". Rfam says of the family: Transfer RNA (tRNA) molecules are approximately 80 nucleotides in length. Their secondary structure includes four short double-helical elements and three loops (D, anti-codon, and T loops). The record is from RNAcentral. RNAcentral also lists the same sequence under 2 other names.
GCCGACAUAGCUCAGGGGUAGAGCAAUGGUUUUGUAAACCAUAGGUCGGGGGUUCAAAUCCCUCUGUCGGCU